CCUGCCCACUGAAAUAUUUGAAUGGCCGCAGUAAUUUGACUGUGCAAAGGUAGCAUAAUCAUUAGUUUUUUAAUUAAAAGCUUGUAUGAAGGGUUUGACGAGAUAAAAUCUGUCUUUAUUUAAAUAAUUUUAGAAUUUAAUUUUUAAGUUAAAAAGCUUAAAUUAAUAUAAAAGACGAGAAGACCCUAUAGAUCUUUAUAUUAUUAUAAUUUAAUUUUGAUUAAGAUUAUUAAAUUUUUUAUUUUAUAUAUUAUUUUAUUGGGGUAAUAAAAAGAUUGAAUUAAUUCUUAUUAGUAUUUUACAUUGAUUAGUGAUUUAGUGAUCCAAUAAUUUUGAUUAGAAGAUUAAGUUACCUUAGGGAUAACAGCGUAAUUUUUUUAGAGAGUUCAUAUCGAUAAAAAAGUUUGCGACCUCGAUGUUGGAUUAAAAAUUGUUUUAGGCGCAGAAGUUUAAAAAAUUUGGUCUGUUCGACCAUUAAAUUUUUACAUGAUCUGAGUUCAGACCGGCGUAAGCCAGGUCGGUUUCUAUCUUUAUUUAUUUAUAAUAUUUUAGUACGAAAGGACCAAAUAUUUAAUAUAUUAAUAUUUUUAUUUAUGAAUAUUAUU
RNAcentral lists this ribosomal RNA (605 nucleotides) under Exocelina ferruginea. Its description in RNAcentral is "partial 16S ribosomal RNA". It matches the Rfam family "Bacterial large subunit ribosomal RNA", at positions 1858 to 2760 of the family's 2925-position model. The record is from RNAcentral. Lineage: Eukaryota; Metazoa; Arthropoda; Insecta; Coleoptera; Dytiscidae.